AUCAGUAAAAGAGAUUACCAUUUUUUUGAAGCCUGUUUACGCCUUUUCCGAUGCAUAUACUAGUGCCUUCUGCUUCUUCUGUGUCCGAGUCCUCAACCACAUUGACAAUCUUAAAUGUUGUGGUGCUUUGAAGAGUUGGCACAUCAUUCGAAGGCUCUUCAGGCAGUCUUUUCUCCUUCACCACAGGACCUUGUGAUGGCGGAGAUUGUCCAGAAGGUGCUGCAGGUACCAAGUCAAGAGCCACUGCACCUGCUACAUUAUUAGCUUCCCCAACAGGCUUUGUCGUCUGAUAAAUAUCAGUCCACAGCCUAGUCUUCUUUUUUGUCCACGCACCUGUCGUUUUGGCCUGUUUCCAUUACUGGAUGCAAGUGGAUAUGAAAUGAAACAUGUUAAGAAUUUCCAAACUUAAAUAUGAAAUGAAACAUGUUAAGAAUUUUCAAACUUAAAUAUCAAGGGAAUUAAAAAAUGCAGAACACUCAUAAUAUUAAUAAAC
Molecule: long non-coding RNA, 493 nt
Filed under: Daucus carota (carrot)
Lineage: Eukaryota; Viridiplantae; Streptophyta; Magnoliopsida; Apiales; Apiaceae
Description: long non-coding RNA (DCAR_LNC007254)
Source: RNAcentral